This 641-nucleotide ribosomal RNA is filed under the name uncultured marine eukaryote. Its description in RNAcentral is "SSU rRNA". It matches the Rfam family "Eukaryotic small subunit ribosomal RNA", at positions 613 to 1258 of the family's 1831-position model. The record is from RNAcentral.
UUGCGGUUAAAAAGCUCGUAGUUGGAUUUCUGUUGAGGAUGGCCAGUCCGCACUUUGUGCGAGUAUUUGGUUCAGCCUCGGCAUCCUCCUGGGGAGCGUGCCUGUACUUAAUUGUAUGACGCGUAAUUCAGGACUUUUACUUUGAGGAAAUUAGAGUGUUCACGGCAGGCGAUAGCCUUGAAUAUGUUAGCAUGGAAUAAUAAUAUAAGACCUCGGUUUUAUUUUGUUGGUUUCUAGAAGCGAGGUAAUGAUUAAUAGGGAUAAUUGGGGGUAUUCGAAUUAAUGCGUCAGAGGUGGAAUUCUUGGAUUGCAUUACGACGAACUACUGCGAAAGCAUUUACCAAGGAUGUUUUCAUUGAUCAAGAACGAAAGUCAGGGGAUCGAAGACGAUUAGAUACCGUCGUAGUCUUGACCAUAAACUAUGCCGACUAGAGAUUGGAGGUCGCUCUUUUUACGGCUCCUUCAGCAUCAAAUGAGAAAUCAAAGUCUUUGGGUUCCGGGGGGAGUAUGGUCGCAAGGCUGAAACUUAAAGGAAUUGACGGAAGGGCACCACCAGGAGUGGAGCCUGCGGCUUAAUUUGACUCAACACGGGGAAACUCACCAGGUCCAGACAUAAUAAGGAUUGACAGAUUGAUAGCUCU